Prunus mume (Japanese apricot) is the source of this 1602-nucleotide non-coding RNA. The record is from RefSeq and is a predicted model, not a curated record. NCBI's taxonomy places the organism in Eukaryota, Viridiplantae, Streptophyta, Magnoliopsida, Rosales, Rosaceae.
GUCAUUUUUGCAAGGUUUUCAUUUUCCGUUGUAAACAACGGUUUGUUUAUUGACUAGAAUCAGUCAGGUGAAGGAAGGGAGUGAACCCAAAGGUCCUCUGGUUCAGAACAGAAAGAAUCCAUGGCGGUUUACCAAAAACGACCGCGUGCUUAUGAGUUUUGAGUGAAGAGAGCAAAGAAAAUUACCCUUAUACUUUUAAUGGUGGGAAAUGUGGGCAGGUGAGAGAAAGCUUUGAUUUUGGUUAUUGAUCCGAGUAAAGUUUGUGCAUUUGGUGAAAGCUGGUUCAUUUCAAAAUCCGACAUCAAAUCCCUAAAACAAAAUUCAAUGUCAAAACCCUCGUCUCGAAUCAUCCAAGGUCUGCUCAGAUUUCACCACAAUCAAAUCUCAAAACCCUCGUCCCCACUCACCGGCUCCAGGAGGACCUACCACUCCAACAAUGGGCCUCUUCCCCAAUUCCCCUCUCACCCAAAACCAGUCGGCGGCGGCGGCGGUGGCGGCCGCUCCGGGCGGGGGCUGGGCCUAGGCCUUGGCCUGAGGUUCUCCUUCAAGCCACCGAAUUUCAGCAAAGUCAAUGCGAAGAAGGUGUUCGAUAAGCCGCUCUCCGCCGCCACCUCGGCUUUCUCGCGCUACCAGGAGGCCAUAGGGUUGCAGAUUGAGGCGUUCUGGAAGAGGAACAAUCUGGUGCUCUUGGGCGUUGGAGCACUGGUGGUGUGUGCUUUGCUAUGGAGGGUCAUGUUUGGGAUUGCUAGCACCUUCGUUGGACUCUCUGAAUGUAUGGCCAAGUAUGGCUUUCUUGCCCUUUCUUCUGCCAUUGUCGCCUUCGCUGGCCUUCAUAUCCGCUCAAGAUUCACAAUCAAUCCUGAUAAAGUUUAUAGAAUUGCCAUGAGGAGGCUUAACUUCUGCUGGGAUUCUUGAGGUUAUGGGUGCCCCUCUCUCAGGAUCAGACCUAAGAGCCUAUUUCAUGUCCGGAGGUGGGGUUACACUAAAGAAGUUCAAGCCAACUUUUAGGAGCAAGAGGUGUUUCCUCAUUUUCCCAGUGCGAGGUUCUGAGAGAAAGGGUCUGGUCAGUGUCGAAGUAAAGAAGAAAAAAGGCCUGGUUUGUGUUUGUACACUCAUCAGACAUCGCGAGAAGCUGAAGGGCCCAUUAAAACCAGAGGGCAAUAUUUGUACCCAAUUUUGGUAAACAUACCAAAAAUGGUUUGCUCCUCAAAAGAAUAUUUUCAUAAGCCCAAGUCCACCACCCUUUUUGUUUCUAUUUGGGAAAAAGAUUUGCCUACGCUUAAAAGGCCAUCAAGAUAGAAAGAAAUUGAUCAAAGCCCACACCUUCAAUAGAGCCCAAAAGUCUGAGUCUCACGGUUACAAAAUUGCCCCACGUGAGAGACUGAAGAGGGUUAUCACCAUUAAUGCCGACUUGACUCUCCUCGUGCCUAGCAAAGAAGCAAGCUGUACGAUAGCCACCAUAACCAGAAAGAACCAAAUUGCCAACCAGACUUCCGAGUUCAGAACAGGGGAUGAUCACAAGAAACCAACGGUCUUGUCAGAAACAUCCCAUCAUCCGUCUAUCUUAGGCUAACUUACCUUACUACCAAGCAUAUGAAUGAU